RNAcentral lists this transfer RNA (67 nucleotides) under Coccidophilus cariba. RNAcentral's name for it is "tRNA-Ile". Lineage: Eukaryota; Metazoa; Arthropoda; Insecta; Coleoptera; Coccinellidae. The record is from RNAcentral.
AUGGAAAGCCUGAUUAAAGGAUUAUCUUGAUAAGAUAAAAUAUGCGUGCCCCCCCCCGCUUCCAUUA